This 765-nucleotide ribosomal RNA is filed under the name uncultured bacterium. Its description in RNAcentral is "bacterial SSU rRNA". It matches the Rfam family "Bacterial small subunit ribosomal RNA", at positions 93 to 844 of the family's 1533-position model. The record is from RNAcentral.
GAGUGGCGAACGGGUGAGCAACACGUGGGUAACCUGCCCAUCAGAAGGGGAUAACACUUGGAAACAGGUGCUAAUACCGUAUAACACUAUUUUCCGCAUGGAAGAAAGUUGAAAGGCGCUUUUGCGUCACUGAUGGAUGGACCCGCGGUGCAUUAGCUAGUUGGUGAGGUAACGGCUCACCAAGGCCACGAUGCAUAGCCGACCUGAGAGGGUGAUCGGCCACACUGGGACUGAGACACGGCCCAGACUCCUACGGGAGGCAGCAGUAGGGAAUCUUCGGCAAUGGACGAAAGUCUGACCGAGCAACGCCGCGUGAGUGAAGAAGGUUUUCGGAUCGUAAAACUCUGUUGUUAGAGAAGAACAAGGAUGAGAGUAAAAUGUUCAUCCCUUGACGGUAUCUAACCAGAAAGCCACGGCUAACUACGUGCCAGCAGCCGCGGUAAUACGUAGGUGGCAAGCGUUGUCCGGAUUUAUUGGGCGUAAAGCGAGCGCAGGCGGUUUCUUAAGUCUGAUGUGAAAGCCCCCGGCUCAACCGGGGAGGGUCAUUGGAAACUGGGAGACUUGAGUGCAGAAGAGGAGAGUGGAAUUCCAUGUGUAGCGGUGAAAUGCGUAGAUAUAUGGAGGAACACCAGUGGCGAAGGCGGCUCUCUGGUCUGUAACUGACGCUGAGGCUCGAAAGCGUGGGGAGCGAACAGGAUUAGAUACCCUGGUAGUCCACGCCGUAAACGAUGAGUGCUAAGUGUUGGAGGGUUUCCGCCCUUCAGU